UGGGAUUUGUUGGGUUUUCCCUGUAAUAUUGUAAUAUUGACCUCACUAUGUAAAGUGCCUUGAGACAAUGUAUUUUGUGAUAUGGCGCUAUACAAAUAAAAUUGAAUUGAAUUGAAUUGAAUUUCUAAAGUAGGCAGUGCCAGGUUUAAGCAGGCAAUCUUGGAACUCAGCCCAAGCCUGGAACUCAGUCACAAAAGCAUUGCCAAACUCAUGCUGCCAUCCUCCAUACUCCCCCUCUAUUGCUUGAAAGACUAUAAAAUCUGUUAAAACUUUCAUUGAGUCUGGUUGUCUGCAUUUUGGGUCCAAAUUCUAGGUCAGCCCUGAACACUUUUUUGAAAAACAGACAAACUGCGCCCCCCUGAACUGUCAGUCACGGCUUGACAACAUGAUGAACACUGUCUGCUGUCAUAAUGUGAUGCAAGUAACCAAUAUGUGCACCAUUCAAGACUGUCUAAGUCUGCCGAGUCGCAGCUGCAAAAUGAGUCGAAAAAGGAUCAAAUUAUUCUUAACAGUUCUCAAAAGUUAUUUGAAUUAUUUAUUAUGUGUAAUUAAUAGAUCAUUCAUAUUUUUUUUUAAUUGAAGGUGGUGAUUAGUGUUGGACAAAUAAUGGGGGGAGGUCAAUAAUCUCGCCAACAUUGCCAGCCACAAUAAUGUGGAAGAAAUGAUGAACAUCCUCCACAGAGCAUUUCAUUUCCCCAAACCAGAGGAGAUGGAGGAGGCCAAAUCUGAAUUGUUCCCCAUAAGCAGCCACAGAAGAGAAGUUAUAUAAAUAGAAAACUCUUCCCUUCACUGCUGCUACAAGGUGUGUGUGUGAUGCCAAUGCACAUUUCUUGAUGUAUAUAUUGGCAAUCCAGGUUUGGAGCAUGAUGCAAUGGUCCUCCGCAGAUCCCCCAUGUAUCAACAACACCACCAGAGGCCAGGAGUAUUAUCGAGUGCACCUUUGGCAUCCUCAAAACUUGGCCUCUGUGAUGAUUGGUGAUUGGUGCCUGCUGCAUCCUCCACAACAUGUGUGGCAGCAGGUGAUGACCUGCAGGAGGAGGAAGACGAUCUGGACCGAGCUGACAGUGAGUAUGACGCCACCAGCAUUGAAGCCAAUGAGAGGGACGUGCACACAUUUCUGCUACGGAGAGACUGCCUGCAUUUCUUUGUGAACAUGACUAUAUCUAGACAGUAACACUCUCCACAUAUACUCAUCUUCACUAGAAGUGUGUGUCUCUGAUGCUGUACUUUUGUAAUGUAUGCCUGUGUGUAUAUGCAUGUGCGUGUAAAUAUGUUCUAUAUGUUCAUUUGUUGCAAUGUUCUUUGUCUUGUUCUAACUUUGCAAAUAUAAUUAUAACACAGUUGCUUUCAAGAAUGAAUUGUCUGGACUGAAUUUCAUUACAAUAUUUAUUCAAAGCUUUUUUUUAAUGAGAAUUUAAAGCAGAGCCAGGUACCCCUCUGCUCUCUCAGUUGCUGUCCUUACCAUCUCCUCGCUUGCCACAGCCUCUCCCUUCAGCCUACUUCAAAAUGUAUGAAUAGCGAAUAUUACCGUUCGUUGACUCUUGUCCUGCCUGUCAUGAAGGGACUAAUUAUAUGUUAUUACGGGCCAGUAGAGGGCUCUAGUAGUAUACUCAAGGGAAUUACGUAUAGCCAGGUGCAGAGAGAGUGUAUAUGGCCGGAGGGAUGAGAGGCUUUACCCCCACGUUGGGCCUGUUAUGAUGUUCUACCAGCUCCCUGAAUAAAGUCACUAGAAGUGGAAAUGCCUGGAUGCUGAUCAUUGAUAUACGAAGAUAUCACACUACCGAUGCAGCCUCUGUCUCUCGGCUUGCCAACAGUAUCCUACCUACCUGAAAAUCCAACCUGGCAACUCCAGGCUCCCUAAGAGCUGUCAGUCAUAAUCCAGAGGCUCCGCCCCCAAAGUGUCAAAAAGUUUCUCCGCGAGCGUACAAAGCGCUCCACGAGCAACGAAGCUGCCUCUCGCGCGAGUGUAAAAUGUGCACCUCAAACGCAGAAAUAACCCUCGAGCAGCGGAUCUGCUUUUCCCGCGAGCGAGAACAGAUCAUCUUGAGCCUCAAGGGAUUUAAAUCUGCACGCGUGUGAAAUUACAUACAUCGCUCGUGAGUCAUUUUUUGUGCGCUGUAUUAAUGACCCAAUUCUAACUCCAUAGUUAGGCUUUAUAUAUGGCCUGACAAACUAAGACAAUGUAGUGUCUUUGAAUCUCAGGUUCUGUAUGUAACAGAACCUGAGUAACAGAACCCUCCCCCUGAUGUUCGUGCAUCAGGGGGAGGGGCUAUAUUUCCAUUUAGCUCUUUUCUGAUUCCUAUCCUUUUUACUAAUUGUGUAUUUGAUAAAUAAUUCAAUAGUUUUCUAAGUUUCAGGGUCAGUAUAACUAUACUGACAUGUUUCUUGUUUAUUGUUGUUAACUUGAAUAAUUGUAUUUAGGUUGACCACCUUGUGUGUCUAAAUGGCCUGAUAAACCAUUAUAUAUGUUCCCCUCAUGUCUCAGUUUGUCAGGUUAGUUAGCGCUACUCAAUUCUCUUUGUUGAUUCUUGAGUUUAGUUCUGUUAUGUUGACCUCAUUUAUGGGCCCAAUAUUUUUGUUUCCAGCCUUUUUGGCAUUUGUUUAUUAUUGCAAAGAAAAUGUAAAAAAAAUUUUUUUUUCAAGAAACCACCUGUGUCUCUGCCUUGACUGCUUGGUCCCUGACAGGCCUGUUUGGCUCUAAUUGGUAGGCCAGAAGUGAUAAAAUAAAGUCCCUCGCAAAAAGAAAAACACACUGUAUUAUUCAUUUUGGUACUCUACCCAAAUCUUAAUCCAAGCCCUUGUCAGACAUACAGACAAUGAUGAGCACUCAAAAUCAAUACUCAUUCCCAUCCACUUUUGCAAGAGUUUCUCCUUCUAGUAAAAAAGGCUUUCAUAGCCACUCGCCACUCAGUGAGAGCCUGGGUCUCCUCAGUUGUCCCUUGAGUAAGAUAAAAUUAGAUCCCCAUGGGGGGAAUUCAGGUAAUAACAUCAAUCCACAAAUAUAAUGGGUAAAGCUAAAAUAACAUAUAAAUUAGAAAAAUACAAUAUAAAAUUGGAUAAAAUUAACUAAAAUUUACACGACCAGCACAGUACUACCAAUAUUGCUUUAAUGUACUAUGAUAUCCAUUACAAUAUUGUGUGUAUUCCUUACAGAAUAAAGGCAAGUCAACCAUUUGACCAAAUGUACAAAGAAAAAUAAGAUUAUUGUAUUAUAAUACACAAUGCUACAAAUUGCGAGUACAACAAGGGUUAAAUAAAAAUCAAAAACUGAAUGUUAACAUUGGUUUGAGCCAAAAGGAUUUCCCUGGGAUAAUACAUUUAGGCUCUGAGACCAGCUAUUGACUGUAAGAUAGUCCCAAAACUGAAUCAUAGCUCAUGUUUAAUCAUGACAGCCAGUGGAACAUUCCUGGACUGGCAGAGAUAAGGCGUUCUGCCAAUAUAACGUUGUGUAACUCAACGCUCUGGGGCCUGUACUACAAAGCAAGUGCAAAAUAUCCAGGAUAUGUUUUUGUUGUCUGGAUUGACUUAACCAAACAUUGACCAUCCUGGAUAACCUGGGGUCUGUACUACGAGGUGAGUUGAACAUAUCCAGGAUUUGUUUUCGUUGUCUGGAUUGACUCAACCUAACAAACGCAAUCACGAUAAGCGGUCACACAACGGUGGUUAUAAACACGUUAGGUCAACCCAUAUUUGUUCAAUCAAAACACGAGCGCGUUCACAUAAAAGAGGCGGUGUUCACUGCCUUUUACCAAUCACUGCAUGGAUCAAGCGUCAAGCAGCAGAGCAGUUUAUUUCACGAACGAAGACAUGUUCAAGAAAUAUAAGCCUAUUAUUCAUGCCAAAAAUAAUACGGCGGCAGCAGCCAAAUGCAGGAGGGAGAGCUGGCAAAAAAUUGCCAAUUGUGUGAAUGCGUAAGUUAAUGUUUUAUUGUAAUAUACCUGCCCUAUCUUAAGGGCAAAGAUCGAUCAGAUUAAAAUCAAAUUUGUGUCUACAUUAAAUUAGCAUGUCAUUUAAAUGACAUCUCAUGGUGUAUAUGACAGUUCUUUCAGGUGUAACCCUUGUAGGGUGAAGCGCACAUGGGAUUAAAUAAAAAACAAGCACAAAAACAUCAUCCAGAGCGCCAACAAGAAAAGAAAAAAUGCCCUCAAGAAGACAGGAGGGGUCCCUCCUACACAGGAAUACACAAUAACUGAGGAGCUGGCCCUCAGCAAUAACGAGGAAUAAUGAAUGACAUAGUUCUCAUUGGGGAAAAUGAGUAACACGUAUUUACUGUCUCUACAGUUGAUGGGGACAUACUGCUGUUGCUACUCCCCCCAUCCGCAUCCACACUGUCCCACACAUAGGUAAGUGACCGCAACAAGUGUCAUACACUGGGAUUUCAUUGGUGUGGCUAAUGGGUAGAGAUCAUUGUCAUAUCUUACUCUGCCAGGUUGGGCCCCAUGAUGAGGAGACUGUCUCUGUAUGCUCAGAGAGACCUGUGGGGGUACAUUUUUGUACUUUAUCUAAAUGAUAUAUGACUAGUCCAUUUAAAACACACAGUGAGGGUGCAGACUGUAAGUGAGUAAUCACAACAGCUUGGUACUGGUGGUGGUGGGCACAUGGGACUCUUAAAUGCUUCAAUUGGUCCAUACACUCAAAUUUAACAAUUGCUCUGUUGUUACAUGAAGAGGACAGUCUUCCUCCCUCUGACCCUGUGGCCUCCACUUCUAGGCCAAGAAGAAGAUCACAAGUGAAUAACAUGAACCUUAAUCUUUUCAAUCGAGACUUGCAAAGGAAAAAUGCAUACAUGUGAAGAAACUGCAUUAUUUGUUUCAGGUUGGAGCAGACAAUGUGAGGUGUCUGUAUAAUUGGACCUUAGGAAUGGAUAUUGAAUACCGACAAUUCAAUAUCCAAUAUAUAAAACAUAAAAUUACAAAGGUGCAGUCGAGGUGGAAAAACUCUGGUAUGAAAAGUUGGUAAGUCAGUGCCAUUCUUUAUUACCAAGCAUGGGAAACAAUUAAAUUAAUUUCCUUUUUCACUUCACAGCAACAGGAGUAACUACCACCACAAUAAACCUGGAAA
This is a long non-coding RNA of Scophthalmus maximus (turbot), 5061 nucleotides long. RefSeq lists it as uncharacterized. The record is from RefSeq and is a predicted model, not a curated record. The transcript has 2 exons. Lineage: Eukaryota; Metazoa; Chordata; Actinopteri; Pleuronectiformes; Scophthalmidae.